UCAACCAGCUGCAGCAGGUCGUAGAAUUUUGUAGCACCGCUGUCCAGCGAGUAGCAGUAAGUAUCUCGCAAGUGGUGGUCCGUUAUCUGGGGAGGGAAAUUCAAGGAACGUCAGUCGUCGUUCAUCCAAGGAUUUGAUAAGAUAAACCUGAAAGGUUUAGAAAUGGCUUAAAAAUGACCUCAAGUUACUCAAAGGUCGUUUGAUUGAUAACGCAAAUUGACCAACGAUAAGGACUGUUCAAAAGUGAUGAAAGCCGAUUCACGAUGGUCAGUUGUACGGGUAGCAAACAAGUAAAAAAACAGAAGAACAGGAAACGAGAAGUAAAAAUCAAUAAAAAUUACUCACCAGUUGUAUUUGAGUAUGGAGAACUUUUCCCCCAGAU
RNAcentral lists this long non-coding RNA (382 nucleotides) under Neodiprion pinetum (white pine sawfly). RNAcentral describes it as "uncharacterized LOC124217437". The record is from RNAcentral. Lineage: Eukaryota; Metazoa; Arthropoda; Insecta; Hymenoptera; Diprionidae.